Molecule: non-coding RNA, 172 nt
Organism: Peromyscus maniculatus bairdii (prairie deer mouse)
Lineage: Eukaryota; Metazoa; Chordata; Mammalia; Rodentia; Cricetidae
Source: RefSeq, a predicted model, not a curated record
UAGGAAAUGCUCUGAGUGUCACCCUGAGUGAAACUUGAGCAAAGGAGAGCUCAAAGCCCACCCCACCCCCACAGUGACACACCUCCUCCAACAAGGCCACACCUACUCAAAGAAAGCCAUACCUCCUAAUCAUGGCACUCUCUAUGAGUUUAUAGGAAUUAUGGGGGGCAAU